This 1940-nucleotide ribosomal RNA is filed under the name Candidatus Caccopulliclostridium gallistercoris. Its description in RNAcentral is "partial 23S ribosomal RNA". It matches the Rfam family "Bacterial large subunit ribosomal RNA", at positions 1 to 1947 of the family's 2925-position model. Lineage: Bacteria; Bacillati; Bacillota; Clostridia. The record is from RNAcentral.
GAUUAAGCUACAAAGAGCAUAUAGAGGAUGCCUUGGCACUAGGCGCCGAUGAAGGACGCGACCAGCUGCGAAAAGCUACGGGGAGUUGCUAAUGAACUGUGAUCCGUAGAUAUCCGAAUGCGGAAACGCACUUGCGCUAAUACGCAAGUAUCAUUGCACGAAUCAAAUAGUGUAAUGAGGGGAACCCAGGGAACUGAAACAUCUAAGUACCUGGAGGAAAAGAAAGUAAACAAACGAUUGCGAAAGUAGUGGCGAGCGAAAUUGCAAGAGCCCAAACCUUAGGUAGUAAUAUCUAAGGGGUUCGGACCCCGGCAUGGGACGAAAUAACAAUAGAAGAACAUAUCUGGAAAGGUAGGCGAAACAGGGUAAUAGCCCCGUAAUUUAAAUUGUUAUGAACCCUAGGGGUAUCCAGAGUAGCACAGGACACGUGUAAUCCGGUGUGAACGCGCGAGGACCAUCUCGUAAGGCUAAAUACGACCUAGUGACCGAUAGAGCACAGUACCGUGAGGGAACGGUGAAAAGAACCCCGGGAGGGGAGUGAAAUAGAACCUGAAACUGUAUGUUUACAAGCAGAUAGAGCGAAAGCGAUAUCGUACUUUUUGUAGAACGGGCCGGCGAGUUACUUGUUGUAGCGAGGUUAAGUGUUUAAGACACGGAGCCGAAGCGAAAGCGAGUCUGAAAAUGGCGCAUAUAGUUGCAAUAAGUAGACCCGAAACCAGAUGACCUAACCAUGAGCAGGUUGAAGCGGUGGUAACACACCGUGGAGGACCGAACACACGCCUGUUGAAAUAGUCGGUGAUGACUUGUGGUUAGCGGAGAAAUUCCAACCGAAUCUGGAUAUAGCUGGUUCUCCUCGAAAUAGCUUUAGGGCUAGCCUCUGUUAAUAGAUUGUUGGGGGUAGAGCACUGAAUAGGCUAGGGGCCUUCACGGGUUACCGAACCUUAUCAAACUCCGAAUACCAAACAAUUGUUCACAGGGAGUCAGACAGUGUGAGAUAAGUUUCAUUGUCAAAACGGAAACAGCCGAGAUCUACAACUAAGGUCCCAAAGUAUAGGUUAAGUGGAAAAGGAUGUGAAAUUGCUAAAACAACCAGGAUGUUGGCUUAGAAGCAGCCACUCAUUAAAAGAGUGCGUAAUAGCUCACUGGUCGAGUGAUUUUGCGCCGAAGAUUCAACGGGGCUAAAACCUAACACCGAAGUUUAGGGAUUGUGUUUACACAAUCGGUAGAGGAGCAAUGAUUACCGGGCUGAAGCAGAACCGUAAGGAACUGUGGACUGUAAUCAAGAGAGAAUGCCGGCAUGAGUAGCGAGAGCAAGGCGAGAAACCUUGCCGUCGAAAGUCUUAGGUUUCCUGGGGAAGGUUCGUCCGCCCAGGGUAAGUCGGGAACUAAGCCGAGGCCGAAAGGCGUAGGCGAUGUCCAACUGGUAGAUAUUCCAGUACCACCGUUAAUCGACAAAGAGUCGAGGCAGUGACACAGUAGGAUAGCAAGAACACGAAGAUGGAAAGUCGUGGCCAAAUCAUGAGGGGUCUAAAUAGUGAAGUACGUUUAGAGCACGCCCUAGGUGAUGAUGGGGAGUGAAAAUUAGUAACGAAGCUUGCGAAUUCACACUGGCGAGAAAAGCUGCUAGAUAGAUUAAAGGUGCCCGUACCGCAAACCGACACAGGUAGACGAUGAGAGAAUCAUAAGACGAACGGAUUAACCCUUGUUAAGGAACUCGGCAAAAUGACCUCGUAACUUCGGGAGAAGAGGUGCCACCAGCAAUGGUGGUCGCAGUGAAACGGCCCAAGCAACUGUUUAUCAAAAACACAGGUUUCUGCUAAAUCGUAAGAUGAAGUAUAGGAGCUGACGCCUGCCCGGUGCUGGAAGGUUAAGAGGAGAUGUCAGUCGCAAGACAAAGCAUUGAAUUUAAGCCCCAGUGAACGGCGGCCGUAACUAUAACG